RNAcentral lists this ribosomal RNA (385 nucleotides) under uncultured bacterium. Its description in RNAcentral is "bacterial SSU rRNA". It matches the Rfam family "Bacterial small subunit ribosomal RNA", at positions 28 to 417 of the family's 1533-position model. The record is from RNAcentral.
GACGAACGCUGGCGGCGUGCUUAACACAUGCAAGUCGAACGAUGAACCACUUCGGUGGGGAUUAGUGGCGAACGGGUGAGUAACACGUGGGCAAUCUGCCCUUCACUCUGGGACAAGCCCUGGAAACGGGGUCUAAUACCGGAUAACACUGCCAUGGGCAUCUGUGGUGGUUAAAAGCUCCGGCGGUGAAGGAUGAGCCCGCGGCCUAUCAGCUUGUUGGUGAGGUAAUGGCNCACCAAGGCGACGACGGGUAGCCGGCCUGAGAGGGCGACCGGCCACACUGGGACUGAGACACGGCCCAGACUCCUACGGGAGGCAGCAGUGGGGAAUAUUGCACAAUGGGCGAAAGCCUGAUGCAGCGACGCCGCGUGAGGGAUGACGGCCU